This 505-nucleotide ribosomal RNA is filed under the name uncultured archaeon. RNAcentral's name for it is "bacterial SSU rRNA". It matches the Rfam family "Archaeal small subunit ribosomal RNA", at positions 352 to 859 of the family's 1478-position model. The record is from RNAcentral.
GCAAUGCACGAAAGUGUGACGGGGCUACCCCGAGUGCCGUCCGCUGAGGAUGGCUUUUCUUUGGUGUAACCAGCCAUGGGAAUAAGGAGAGGGCAAGACUGGUGUCAGCCGCCGCGGUAAUACCAGCUCUCCGAGUGGUAGGGAUGAUUAUUGGGCUUAAAGCGUCCGUAGCCGGCUUAACAAGUCUCCUGUUAAAUUCAGCGACCUAAUCGUUGAUCCGCGGGAGAUACUAUUAGGCUAGGAGGCGGGAGAGGUCGACGGUACUUCUGGGGUAGGGGUGAAAUCCUAUAAUCCCGGGAGUACCACCAGUGGCGAAGGCUGUCGACUAGAACGCGCUCGACGGUGAGGGACGAAAGCUGGGGGAGCGAACCGGAUUAGAUACCCGGGUAGUCCCAGCUGUAAACGAUGCGGGCUAGGUGUUGGGGUGGCUACGUGCCACUCCAGUGCCGCAGGGAAGCCAUUAAGCCCGCCGCCUGGGGAGUACGGCCGCAAGGCUGAAACUUAA